Picea glauca (white spruce) is the source of this 45-nucleotide non-coding RNA. The record is from Rfam. Lineage: Eukaryota; Viridiplantae; Streptophyta; Pinopsida; Pinales; Pinaceae.
GCAAUGGUGUCUUUAGACACCACCAUUAUUCUCAAAUCCUCAGUU